GGGUUGUGAGGUUAAGCGACUAAGCGUACACGGUGGAUGCCCUGGCAGUCAGAGGCGAUGAAGGACGUGCUAAUCUGCGAUAAGCGUCGGUAAGGUGAUAUGAACCGUUAUAACCGGCGAUUUCCGAAUGGGGAAACCCAGUGUGAUUCGUCACACUAUCAUUAACUGAAUCCAUAGGUUAAUGAGGCGAACCGGGGGAACUGAAACAUCUAAGUACCCCGAGGAAAAGAAAUCAACCGAGAUUCCCCCAGUAGCGGCGAGCGAACGGGGAGCAGCCCAGAGCCUGAAUCAGUGUGUGUGUUAGUGGAAGCGUCUGGAAAGGCGCGCGAUACAGGGUGACAGCCCCGUACACAAAAAUGCACAUACUGUGAGCUCGAUGAGUAGGGCGGGACACGUGGUAUCCUGUCUGAAUAUGGGGGGACCAUCCUCCAAGGCUAAAUACUCCUGACUGACCGAUAGUGAACCAGUACCGUGAGGGAAAGGCGAAAAGAACCCCGGCGAGGGGAGUGAAAAAGAACCUGAAACCGUGUACGUACAAGCAGUGGGAGCCUCUUUUAUGGGGUGACUGCGUACCUUUUGUAUAAUGGGUCAGCGACUUAUAUUCUGUAGCAAGGUUAACCGAAUAGGGGAGCCGAAGGGAAACCGAGUCUUAACUGGGCGUUAAGUUGCAGGGUAUAGACCCGAAACCCGGUGAUCUAGCCAUGGGCAGGUUGAAGGUUGGGUAACACUAACUGGAGGACCGAACCGACUAAUGUUGAAAAAUUAGCGGAUGACUUGUGGCUGGGGGUGAAAGGCCAAUCAAACCGGGAGAUAGCUGGUUCUCCCCGAAAGCUAUUUAGGUAGCGCCUCGUGAAUUCAUCUCCGGGGGUAGAGCACUGUUUCGGCAAGGGGGUCAUCCCGACUUACCAACCCGAUGCAAACUGCGAAUACCGGAGAAUGUUAUCACGGGAGACACACGGCGGGUGCUAACGUCCGUCGUGAAGAGGGAAACAACCCAGACCGCCAGCUAAGGUCCCAAAGUCAUGGUUAAGUGGGAAACGAUGUGGGAAGGCCCAGACAGCCAGGAUGUUGGCUUAGAAGCAGCCAUCAUUUAAAGAAAGCGUAAUAGCUCACUGGUCGAGUCGGCCUGCGCGGAAGAUGUAACGGGGCUAAACCAUGCACCGAAGCUGCGGCAGCGACGCUUAUGCGUUGUUGGGUAGGGGAGCGUUCUGUAAGCCUGUGAAGGUGUGCUGUGAGGCAUGCUGGAGGUAUCAGAAGUGCGAAUGCUGACAUAAGUAACGAUAAAGCGGGUGAAAAGCCCGCUCGCCGGAAGACCAAGGGUUCCUGUCCAACGUUAAUCGGGGCAGGGUGAGUCGACCCCUAAGGCGAGGCCGAAAGGCGUAGUCGAUGGGAAACAGGUUAAUAUUCCUGUACUUGGUGUUACUGCGAAGGGGGGACGGAGAAGGCUAUGUUGGCCGGGCGACGGUUGUCCCGGUUUAAGCGUGUAGGCUGGUUUUCCAGGCAAAUCCGGAAAAUCAAGGCUGAGGCGUGAUGACGAGGCACUACGGUGCUGAAGCAACAAAUGCCCUGCUUCCAGGAAAAGCCUCUAAGCAUCAGGUAACAUCAAAUCGUACCCCAAACCGACACAGGUGGUCAGGUAGAGAAUACCAAGGCGCUUGAGAGAACUCGGGUGAAGGAACUAGGCAAAAUGGUGCCGUAACUUCGGGAGAAGGCACGCUGAUAUGUAGGUGAAGUGAUUUACUCAUGGAGCUGAAAUCAGUCGAAGAUACCAGCUGGCUGCAACUGUUUAUUAAAAACACAGCACUGUGCAAACACGAAAGUGGACGUAUACGGUGUGACGCCUGCCCGGUGCCGGAAGGUUAAUUGAUGGGGUCAGCGCAAGCGAAGCUCUUGAUCGAAGCCCCGGUAAACGGCGGCCGUAACUAUAACGGUCCUAAGGUAGCGAAAUUCCUUGUCGGGUAAGUUCCGACCUGCACGAAUGGCGUAAUGAUGGCCAGGCUGUCUCCACCCGAGACUCAGUGAAAUUGAACUCGCUGUGAAGAUGCAGUGUACCCGCGGCAAGACGGAAAGACCCCGUGAACCUUUACUAUAGCUUGACACUGAACAUUGAGCCUUGAUGUGUAGGAUAGGUGGGAGGCUUUGAAGUGUGGACGCCAGUCUGCAUGGAGCCGACCUUGAAAUACCACCCUUUAAUGUUUGAUGUUCUAACGUUGACCCGUAAUCCGGGUUGCGGACAGUGUCUGGUGGGUAGUUUGACUGGGGCGGUCUCCUCCUAAAGAGUAACGGAGGAGCACGAAGGUUGGCUAAUCCUGGUCGGACAUCAGGAGGUUAGUGCAAUGGCAUAAGCCAGCUUGACUGCGAGCGUGACGGCGCGAGCAGGUGCGAAAGCAGGUCAUAGUGAUCCGGUGGUUCUGAAUGGAAGGGCCAUCGCUCAACGGAUAAAAGGUACUCCGGGGAUAACAGGCUGAUACCGCCCAAGAGUUCAUAUCGACGGCGGUGUUUGGCACCUCGAUGUCGGCUCAUCACAUCCUGGGGCUGAAGUAGGUCCCAAGGGUAUGGCUGUUCGCCAUUUAAAGUGGUACGCGAGCUGGGUUUAGAACGUCGUGAGACAGUUCGGUCCCUAUCUGCCGUGGGCGCUGGAGAACUGAGGGGGGCUGCUCCUAGUACGAGAGGACCGGAGUGGACGCAUCACUGGUGUUCGGGUUGUCAUGCCAAUGGCACUGCCCGGUAGCUAAAUGCGGAAGAGAUAAGUGCUGAAAGCAUCUAAGCACGAAACUUGCCCCGAGAUGAGUUCUCCCUGACCCUUUAAGGGUCCUGAAGGAACGUUGAAGACGACGACGUUGAUAGGCCGGGUGUGUAAGCGCAGCGAUGCGUUGAGCUAACCGGUACUAAUGAACCGUGAGGCUUAACCUUACAACGCCGAAGGUGUUU
Molecule: ribosomal RNA, 2931 nt
Filed under: Escherichia coli
Lineage: Bacteria; Pseudomonadati; Pseudomonadota; Gammaproteobacteria; Enterobacterales; Enterobacteriaceae
Description: 23S ribosomal RNA
Rfam family: Bacterial large subunit ribosomal RNA
Source: RNAcentral